Molecule: ribosomal RNA, 624 nt
Filed under: uncultured bacterium
Lineage: Bacteria
Description: bacterial SSU rRNA
Rfam family: Bacterial small subunit ribosomal RNA
Source: RNAcentral
GGCAGCACAGGUGAUUGGAAACAGUCAUUGGGUGGCGACCUUUAAACGGGUGAGUAAUGCGCAGGGAUAUACCUUAAAGACGUUUAUAACUUGGGGAAACUCAGGCUAAUACCGCAUAAGCUCCGAGGAGGAAAGCUUGGGACCGAAAGGCCAGGCGCUUUAAGAAUAGCCUGCGUCCGAUUAGCUAGUUGGGGGGGGGGGGGCGCACCAAGGCGACGAUCGGUAGCUGGUCUGAGAGGAUGAACAGCCACACUGGGACUGAGACACGGCCCAGACUCCUACGGGAGGCAGCAGUGGGGAAUAUUGGACAAUGGGGGAAACCCUGAUCCAGCGAUGCCGCGUGUGUGAAGAAGGCCUGAGGGUUGUAAAGCACUUUUAGUGGGGAGGAGGGUUUACAGGUUAAGAGCUAGUGAACUGGACGUUACCCAAAGAAAAAGCACCGGCUAACUCCGUGCCAGCAGCCGCGGUAAUACGGAGGGUGCGAGCGUUAAUCGGAAUGACUGGGCGUAAAGGGUGCGUAGGCGGUUAGUUAAGUUGUGGGUGAAAGUACUGGGCUCAACCUGGUGUAAAAUCAUGAUACUGGCUAACUAGAGUACAGGAGAGGGAUAGUGGAAUUUCCGGUGU